GACGAACUGUCCUAGCGUUGUUCGGAAUUACUGGGCGUAAAGGGCGCGUCGGCGGCCUUCUAAGUCAGACGUGAAAUCCCCGGGCUCAACCCGGGAACUGCGUCUGAGACUGGAAGGCUCGAAUCCGGGAGAGGGAUGCGGAAUUCCAGGUGUAGCGGUGAAAUGCGUAGAUAUCUGGAGGAACACCGGUGGCGAAGGCGGCAUCCUGGACCGGCAUUGACGCUGAGGCGCGAAAGCCAGGGGAGCAAACGGG
RNAcentral lists this ribosomal RNA (253 nucleotides) under uncultured bacterium. Its description in RNAcentral is "partial 16S ribosomal RNA". It matches the Rfam family "Bacterial small subunit ribosomal RNA", at positions 524 to 776 of the family's 1533-position model. The record is from RNAcentral.